UCUUAAUUAAAAAUUAAUUUAAAAUCUUAUUAAGCCUCUUUGGCCUUAGCUAUUCUGAGAAAAAAAAAAAACAAAAAACAAAAAACAAAAAAAACCAAAAAAACCAGCACUAGUUUUUCAGAAAACAGUUGUGUUUAAUAACAUGGUAAUUUGUCACAAAUUUCUGCCCUUGCCCAUUCCAAGGACAAAAUGAAGUUUAACACUGAGAUAGUUAGAAAACAUUUUACCUCAUACAUUUUAACACUGCCUUUUCCCAGUAUAGUGCUGGGCUUAGGUAUUCUAAUUUUAUCUUCAGUAAUUGGUUCCUAAUUUUAUUGUUGUGGCUGUUGCUCCCUGAGGGCGUUUGGAAAUGAGAUUCAGCAUUUAAAAAAAAAACCCUAGCUGAAACAGACUUUUAAUAAUGAAAUCAAUGAAAGAAGCAUUCCUAACUAUAAAACUCGAGCAUAGAUACAUAAAUAAUUGUUACAAUUUGUUUAGUGCUGAUAUUCCACCCUGUUGCAUUUAACCAUUUUUAUUGUCCUGGGGAUAUUCUGCGCAGAUCUGCAAAACCCCAUUCGGAAUGGCUGAUGGAUGGCAUUUUUUCAACCAAAGCGUUUUUCAGAUGUGGUACAGUCCACAGGAAGCCUUUUGAAAUAGAAGAGGACUGUGGCAGCCAGCACAGCAUUGUGGUGUUAUGACCAAGGAGCUGUUUUGAAGAAUGAGAGAUGUUUCUUCUGAUAGAGAAAUAGAUGAUACUUACCCUUCACUUCUGUGGGGAAGCUGGUGGCUCCAGAUGGGAUGAGCUCCCUAUCUGUUUCAAAAACAAAAACAAGAAGUCCCAUCAUUCUGUCUUUCCUUGGGCCAUAAAAACAAGGCAAGCUAGUGCUGUAUUGCUUUGGCUGUAG
RNAcentral lists this long non-coding RNA (884 nucleotides) under Chrysolophus pictus (golden pheasant). RNAcentral's name for it is "lncRNA (ENSCPIG00010001821.1)". The record is from RNAcentral. Lineage: Eukaryota; Metazoa; Chordata; Aves; Galliformes; Phasianidae.